CAGGAUAUUUCAAAUCAAGACACAACCAGAGGGAAGAAUAGUAGAAAAUUGGCAAUUUCCAAAUGUGGAGCUGAAACAGUGGUUGAAACUCCAAUUCAGGUAAGAAGAGGAAAUUUAUUUAUUAGAAUUGUAUUUUCCUUUUCCUUCACAAAGUCAGAGGUGGUGUACAUAAUACUGUCUCCUUCCAUUAAUGUUUUUGAAGACCACUACUUUUAAAAAGUGCUUGCGCGUAUCACCCCUGGCUUCCUUUUUGCUGUCAGAGGCCUUCAGGAAAGCCCCCUGCAGCCGAGAAACGAGAUCCAGAUUGAUGGGCACCUUUCUGAAGGCCUAUGACAGCAAAACGGAGGUUGGGGGCAAUAUGCACAAUUGGUGGCAAGUGGCCACAGAAGAAGUGAGCCGGCAGUGGCCACAUGAGCUGCUGUUGGUGCUGCCGCCGCGAAGUGAGACUGGGAAAAACAUUCCACAAAUAUAAGACCUAAUGCCUCUUUUGGAGAAAAAAAAUUAAACCUGGUCUUAUUUUUGGGGAUUACUCUAAACCUUUUCAAGUAAUCCUUCAUGAUGCCCAAUCUUUUUGUAAUUCUUUGAGUUGGAUUUGUGCAAAGGAUGCUUAAAAAGAACUUAAUAUUUACACUGGCAAAUUAUCAUUUUU
Thamnophis elegans (Western terrestrial garter snake) is the source of this 649-nucleotide long non-coding RNA. RefSeq lists it as uncharacterized. NCBI's taxonomy places the organism in Eukaryota, Metazoa, Chordata, Lepidosauria, Squamata, Natricidae. The transcript is spliced from 2 exons. The record is from RefSeq and is a predicted model, not a curated record.